RNAcentral lists this transfer RNA (71 nucleotides) under Loxodonta africana (African savanna elephant). It matches the Rfam family "tRNA". From Rfam's summary of the family: Transfer RNA (tRNA) molecules are approximately 80 nucleotides in length. Their secondary structure includes four short double-helical elements and three loops (D, anti-codon, and T loops). The record is from Rfam by way of RNAcentral. Lineage: Eukaryota; Metazoa; Chordata; Mammalia; Proboscidea; Elephantidae.
GCAUUGGUAGUUCAGUGGUAGAAUUCUCACCUUCCAUGUGGGAGACAUGAGUUUGAUUCCCAACCAAUGCA